This 255-nucleotide long non-coding RNA is filed under the name Cicer arietinum (chickpea). RNAcentral describes it as "long non-coding RNA (CARI_LNC003540)". Lineage: Eukaryota; Viridiplantae; Streptophyta; Magnoliopsida; Fabales; Fabaceae. The record is from RNAcentral.
UCAUGUUUUAGCGCCUAUUUGUGCACAAGAAGUAUCAUUAGUGUGAUCAAUGUGAUUUUCAGGGCGAUCGAAGUAAAAAAGUGGGAGUUGUUGAUAGUCAAUAUGUUGUUCACAAGGGAAUACAAACUCUAGGUGGGAGUGAUGAUCAUGGUGCUACCAAGGUAUUUGCUUCUUCUCCAAAUAUUGGACUUGAUCCUAUAAUUUCUUUUGUGCCACUACCAACUAAGAAUAUUGAUUGCAUUAGUGUGCUAACUU